UAAUACGUAGGCAGCAAGCGUUGUUCGGAGUUACUGGGCGUAAAGGGUGUGUAGGCGGUCUUUUAAGUUUGGUGUGAAAUCUCCCGGCUCAACUGGGAGGGUGCGCCGAAAACUGGAAGGCUAGAGUGCGGGAUGGGAGAGUGGAAUUCCUGGUGUAGCGGUGAAAUGCGUAGAUAUCAGGAGGAACACCUGUGGUGUAGACGGCUCUCUGGACCGCAACUGACGCUGAGACACGAAAGCGUGGGUAGCAAACAGGAUUAGAUACCCUGGUAGUCCACGCCCUAAACGAUGCAUAUUUGGUGUGGGCCAUUCAUUUGGUCCGUGCCGGAGCUAACGCGUUAAAUAUGCCGCCUGGGGAGUACGGUCGCAAGGCU
This 374-nucleotide ribosomal RNA is filed under the name uncultured bacterium. RNAcentral's name for it is "bacterial SSU rRNA". It matches the Rfam family "Bacterial small subunit ribosomal RNA", at positions 521 to 895 of the family's 1533-position model. The record is from RNAcentral.